Molecule: long non-coding RNA, 2011 nt
Organism: Betta splendens (Siamese fighting fish)
Lineage: Eukaryota; Metazoa; Chordata; Actinopteri; Anabantiformes; Osphronemidae
Exons: 2
Source: RefSeq, a predicted model, not a curated record
CCCACUUGAUGGCGCCACAGCUGUAAAGUUUCCACAGGUUGGUGGAGCUUUUUCAGUUUAUCUGAUGCAGAUGGUGCUUUGCCACUAACUGAAGACUGUCACACGGAUGCAGGUACAAGACGUAAAGAUGAGGGAUACAGGACGCAUAAGAAACAAAACUUUACACAGUAAUUAUCUCAUUAUUUUCCACUUAAGCCAUUCAUCAUACACUGUUAGACAUUUCUGUAAUUUAGACAGUAUUUUAUCGUAUAUCACAGAGUACAAUACAAUUACAGCGCACCACUGUAUUUACUUUUGGCGCUAACAGGUGUUUUCUUCAUUUAACAUGUGCAUUUUUUACACUCCUGAGUUGAAAGUGAUGCUUCCCUCGGUUUGACAGCUGCUGUUGGAGUUCAUAUUGAUGAAAAGGCUUUUUCAAGACAGCAAAGGUUCCUUGUUAGAAUAAAUCCAGAUGAUUUGUGCUACUAAAACCAGAGUGGAGACCAGAGAAAGGGUGAAGAGAAAGACAACAGAACAAAAGUGUAAUUCUUUCUCUGUCAUCUACCUGAAUUUAAAUGGAAGACCUGAGAUUAGUAAGUUAACUGUACUGUACUGCAUUGUAAGUUUUGUUAAAAGGCCAUGUUACGAUGUACUUUACAAGUUUUAACAGUGAAUGUACUUGAACGUUUUAAUAUACAAUAUUAUCAGACAGUUCAGUCAGUGAUAUAAUUAUUUGCAAUGUUUUAAAUAAACUUCCAUAUUUUGUAGGGAUUUAUAGUAGCAAUUACUGCAAAUUUAAAAUACAGUAAUGAUAAGUGUUGAAUUACAGUAACUCACUGGCAACAGUGAGUUACUGUAAAAACCUUGAGAAAUGUCUAACAGUAUAGCCGGCGUCAGGAAGUGUCAGCUUGAAUGAAUCAGCAGCUACAUUUUGUCACCUCUGACUCUUAUUUCACCACUGGAGACAAAGACUGAACUGAAGGAUUAGUCACCAAAAAGUGUGACAUGAUGAAAACACACAAAGCCAUCGACUAGAAAGGGUUUUAGCACAUUCAUGUCGGUGACGGGGUCAAAAAGAGACAACCGAGGACUCAUCAUACUUUGGAAACCAGAGAACGAGUCUGACUUUGCCGUCUAAUUCUGUGACUCUGCUCAGAGAAUCAGAGUCAGACCGUGUGCUCGUCUGUGGACACUGGAAGAGCAGUCAAACACCAGCUUAUACAGAUAAUAAGAAACAAGUUCAGAUGCCAUGACUCAGGUUCCACAUGACCGGGAUGACUGGGAAACUUCCAGAUCAUCAGACAUCAGAGAAGUAUUGGUUUGUCUCCAGGACAGCAGAGCAAACUGAUAAAGGCUGCGAUGAGGCCAAUAGGCGGGUGCUUCAACGUUUAACCGAAUGUACAGGACUCUGCAGCACAGCUGUAAAGAUACACAGCAUCGCUAAACAGGAAAUGUGACACACGCUGAACGACUCCACCGGCCGAAGGGCCAACACGCUGCAGCUGCUUUCGGUCUAAGCUGCCCUUUCAUUAUUUCAUCCUCUAAGCUAGUUGUCUCAGGGAUACACUGCUUAACACAAAUACACUCACUGAUGUUUGCAGUUCUUCAGAAGGAGCCAGAAGCAGCAACUGAGGCUCUCACCUUCAUGAGUAAUGAUGCACAUGACCCAGUGGCGCGACUGAAGCUUAUUUAGCAUAAGUACUUCCUUUUCUGGUGCAACUUCAAGCAGAUAUUAGAAAAGAGGCAGGAAGUAACUUUGGGGUUUCAAAGAAAAUUUCAUCCUUUCUGGCUGAUGUGAAGCCACAAAAUGUCCGCUGUACAAUGGCAAUUGUACACACAAAGACACACAAACGCUGGUCUGGAUCAAUUUAACUCAAAAUAAAAGAAUACAUUUUCUAUUCACCAGCAUAAUGUAAGUAAAACUUAGAAUAACCUCCAGAAACCGAACGGCUGUUCUAAACAGACUAAAACUCUGAACUCAACCAGCAGAUUAUGAGCUUAAAUAUAAAAAUAAAGAUGUGUUUGACAUGGA